ACGGGAGGCAGCAGUGGGGGAUAUUGGACAAUGGGGGAGACCCUGAUCCAGCGACGCCGCGUGAGUGAAGAAGUAUUUCGGUAUGUAAAGCUCUAUCAGCAGGGAAGAAAAAGCGCAAGCAUUGACUGUACCUGACUAAGAAGCCCCGGCUAACUACGUGCCAGCAGCCGCGGUAAUACGUAGGGGGCAAGCGUUAUCCGGAUUUACUGGGUGUAAAGGGAGCGUAGACGGCAUGGCAAGUCUGAUGUGAAAGCCCGGGGCUCAACCCCGGGACUGCAUUGGAAACUGUCAAGCUAGAGUGCAGGAGAGGUAAGUGGAAUUCCUAGUGUAGCGGUGAAAUGCGUAGAUAUUAGGAGGAACACCAGUGGCGAAGGCGGCUUACUGGACUGUAACUGACGUUGAGGCUCGAAAGCGUGGGGAGCGAACAGGAUUAGAUACCCUGGUA
RNAcentral lists this ribosomal RNA (445 nucleotides) under uncultured Clostridium sp. RNAcentral's name for it is "partial 16S ribosomal RNA". It matches the Rfam family "Bacterial small subunit ribosomal RNA", at positions 341 to 792 of the family's 1533-position model. The record is from RNAcentral. Lineage: Bacteria; Bacillati; Bacillota; Clostridia; Eubacteriales; Clostridiaceae.